ACCGCUCAGUAACACGUAGCUAACCUACCCUCGGGUCGCGGAUACCCCCGGGAAACUGGGGCUAAUCCACGAUAGGUGUGGAGGCCUGGAAUGGUUCCACGCCCAAAGGCACAACGAUCAUGUUUGUUGUGUGCCCGAGGAUGGGGCUGCGGCCGAUCAGGCAGUUGGCGAGGUAACGGCUCACCAAACCUUUGACCGGUACGGGCCAUGAAAGUGGUAGCCCGGAGAUGGGCACUGAGACAGGGGCCCAGGCCCUACGGGGCGCAGCAGGCGCGAAAACUCCACAAUGUACGGAAGUACGAUGGGGUUAUCUCGAGUGCAGUCCGAUAAGGGUUGCUUUUCCAUAGAGUAAUAUCCUGUGGGAAUAAGAGGGGGGCAAGACUGGUGUCAGCCGCCGCGGUAACACCAGCCCCUCGAGUGGUGGGGACUAUUAUUUGGCCUAAAGCGUCCGUAGCUGGCUGUAUCCGUCCCCCGUUAAAUCCAGCGUCCUAAGCGUUGGACCGCGGGUGAUACCAUACAGCUAGAGGGUGGGAUAGGUGGGCGGUAUUUCUGGGGUAGGGGCGAAAUCCUUUGAUCCCAGGAGGACCACCAGUGGCGAAGGCUGCCCACUAGAACACGCCUGACGGUCAGGGACGAAAGCUGGGGCAGCGAACCGGAUUAGAUACCCGGGUAGUCCCAGCUGUAAACGAUGCUAGCUAGGUGUUGGGUCGGCCACGCGCCGCCCCAGUGCCGCAGGGAAGCCGUUAAGCUAGCCGCCUGGGGAGUACGGCCGCAAGGCUG
This 780-nucleotide ribosomal RNA is filed under the name uncultured archaeon. RNAcentral describes it as "bacterial SSU rRNA". It matches the Rfam family "Archaeal small subunit ribosomal RNA", at positions 85 to 851 of the family's 1478-position model. The record is from RNAcentral.